CAAAGGGAUUACCGGUGGCGGAUGGGCAUGCGGCGCAUUAGCUAGUCGGCGGGGUAACGGCCCACCGAGGCGACGAUGCGUAGGGGUUCUGAGAGGAAGGUCCCCCACACUGGUACUGAGACACGGACCAGACUCCUACGGGAGGCAGCAGUGAGGAAUAUUGGUCAAUGGGCGCGAGCCUGAACCAGCCAAGUCGCGUGAGGGAUGACGGUCCUACGAAUUGUAAACCUCUUUUGCCGGGGAGCAAGCGUGCGUUCGUGAACGCGCGUCGAGAGUACCCGGAGAAAAAGCAUCGGCUAACUCCGUGCCAGCAGCCGCGGUAAUACGGAGGAUGCGAGCGUUAUCCGGAUUUAUUGGGUUUAAAGGGUGCGUAGGCGGGAUGCCAAGUCAGCGGUAAAAAUGCGGUGCUCAACGCCGUCGAGCCGUUGAAACUGGCGUUCUUGAGUGGGCGAGAAGUAUGCGGAAUGCGUGGUGUAGCGGUGAAAUGCAUAGAUAUCACGCAGAACUCCGAUUGCGAAGGCAGCAUACCGGCGCCCUACUGACGCUGAGGCACGAAAGCGUGGGUAUCGAACAGGAUUAGAUACCCUGGUAGUCCACGCAGUAAACGAUGAAUGCUAACUGUCCGGCUCGAAUGAGCGCUGG
Molecule: ribosomal RNA, 642 nt
Filed under: uncultured bacterium
Lineage: Bacteria
Description: bacterial SSU rRNA
Rfam family: Bacterial small subunit ribosomal RNA
Source: RNAcentral